RNAcentral lists this ribosomal RNA (1406 nucleotides) under uncultured Bacilli bacterium. Its description in RNAcentral is "bacterial SSU rRNA". It matches the Rfam family "Bacterial small subunit ribosomal RNA", at positions 27 to 1391 of the family's 1533-position model. Lineage: Bacteria; Bacillati; Bacillota; Bacilli. The record is from RNAcentral.
GGACGAACGCUGGCGGCGUGCCUAAUACAUGCAAGUCGAACGAGCUCUCCCAAAUUGAUUUUAUGCUUGCAUAAAUGAUUUUUGGAUUCGGAGCGAGUGGCGAACUGGUGAGUAACACGUGGGUAACCUGCCCCGAAGCGGGGGAUAACAUUUGGAAACAAGUGCUAAUACCGCAUAAUUAGUUGGAACCGCAUGGUUCCAACUUGAAAGAUGGCUCUGCUAUCACUUUGGGAUGGACCCGCGCCGUAUUAGUUAGUUGGUGAGAUAAAAGCCCACCAAGACGAUGAUACGUAGCCGACCUGAGAGGGUAAUCGGCCACAUUGGGACUGAGACACGGCCCAGACUCCUACGGGAGGCAGCAGUAGGGAAUCUUCCACAAUGGACGAAAGUCUGAUGGAGCAACGCCGCGUGAGUGAUGAAGGUUUUCGGAUCGUAAAACUCUGUUGUUAAAGAAGAACAAGUGUUAGAGUAACUGUUAACACUUUGACGGUAUUUAACCAGAAAGCCACGGCUAACUACGUGCCAGCAGCCGCGGUAAUACGUAGGUGGCAAGCGUUGUCCGGAUUUAUUGGGCGUAAAGCGAGCGCAGGCGGUUUUGUAAGUCUGCUGUGAAAGCCCUCAGCUCAACUGAGGAAGUGCAGUGGAAACUACAAAACUUGAGUACAGAAGAGGAAAGUGGAACUCCAUGUGUAGCGGUGAAAUGCGUAGAUAUAUGGGAAGAACACCAGUGGCGAAGGCGGCUUUCUGGUCUGUUACUGACGCUGAGGCUCGAAAGCAUGGGUAGCGAACAGGAUUAGAUACCCUGGUAGUCCAUGCCGUAAACGAUGAAUACUAGGUGUUGGAGGGUUUCCGCCCUUCAGUGCCGCAGCUAACGCAUUAAGUAUUCCGCCUGGGGAGUACGACCGCAAGGUUGAAACUCAAAGGAAUUGACGGGGGCCCGCACAAGUGGUGGAGCAUGUGGUUUAAUUCGAUGCUACGCGAAGAACCUUACCAGCUCUUGACAUCUUCUGCCAACCCAAGAGAUUGGGCGUUCCCUUCGGGGACAGAAUGACAGGUGGUGCAUGGUUGUCGUCAGCUCGUGUCGUGAGAUGUUGGGUUAAGUCCCGCAACGAGCGCAACCCUUAUUAUUAGUUGCCAGCAUUUAGUUGGGCACUCUAGUGAGACUGCCGGUGAUAAACCGGAGGAAGGUGGGGACGACGUCAAAUCAUCAUGCCCCUUAUGAGCUGGGCUACACACGUGCUACAAUGGAUGGUACAACGAGUCGCGAAACCGCGAGGUCAAGCUAAUCUCUUAAAGCCAUUCUCAGUUCGGAUUGCAGGCUGCAACUCGCCUGCAUGAAGUUGGAAUCACUAGUAAUCGUGGAUCAGCAUGCCACGGUGAAUACGUUCCCGGGCCUUGUACACACC